Molecule: RNA transcript, 1007 nt
Organism: Rhododendron vialii
Lineage: Eukaryota; Viridiplantae; Streptophyta; Magnoliopsida; Ericales; Ericaceae
Gene name: dolichyl-diphosphooligosaccharide--protein glycosyltransferase subunit DAD1
Exons: 6
Source: RefSeq, a predicted model, not a curated record
GACAUUUUCAAUAUAAAGUCAUGGGUUGGAGAUGCUCUUGCCCAAAAUUGUUAUCAGAAAUCUGGCCUUAAAUUCCACCAGGAAGGUUCUUCUGGUGUUUUUCUUUUUUCUUUCCUUCUUUACUCAUCAGUGGGGGUUCUGUUUGCAAGCUAGACAUUCAUAUUCCAGGAGAGAGAGAGAGAGAGAGAGAAGAAGAAGAAGAAGAAGAAGAAGAAUGGGGAAGUCGUCGGCGACAAAGGAUGCUCAAGCACUUUUCCAAUCGCUCCGGUCUGCUUAUGCUGCCACUCCCACAAAUCUCAAGAUCAUCGAUCUAUACGUCAUGUUUGCAGUCUUCACCGCUGUGAUUCAGGUUGUUUACAUGGCUAUAGUUGGAUCUUUCCCAUUCAACUCUUUUCUCUCAGGAGUUCUUUCUGGCGUCGGGACAGCAGUUCUUGCUGUUUGUCUCCGUAUACAAGUGAACAAAGAAAACAAGGAAUUCAAGGAUUUGCCGCCAGAACGUGCUUUUGCGGACUUUGUUCUCUGCAAUUUGGUGCUCCAUUUGGUGAUUAUGAACUUCCUCGGAUAAAGAAGGGAAUUAGGACUCUAGGGAUGCUGUUUAGCGACAUAGUUCCAGGCCAUUGGUUGUGUUUGUUUUUUGUUAUUAACCCUAUCCAGUUAAGAUUACAAGAAUUUGCACUCGGUUUUUCAUCGAUGGACACGAGUUUCAAACUGCUUUGUGAAGAUAGACAUGCCUGUAGUUCUGUAGCAAUUUCACUUUCGUCUCUUUUUGGUUGGAAUCAUUGUCGAGAAAGUUUUUUUUCCCUUUCAUGUAAUACUCCCUCUCCCUCUCGCUCAUCGAGUCAUCGGUACGGGACCGGGUUAGGGUUAGGGUUAGUUGCAACUUGUGAAGUAAAACUUAUACCCAGACAUUACACCUACUAAGAAAGUGCUUCAUGUCCCUCACUAGAACACCUGAGUGGUGGUAUGUUUCAUAUUUUGAUACAACAUAGGUGCACAUGAAUUUGUUA